ACCUCCGAUUAAGGUUUCCACUCCUGCCAGUUCCCGAGGACUUGCGUGACUCAUAGUUAAAUUCACUCCAGCGGGGCUUGGGAGGAAUUCAUGCAGAAGUACCGAUACUAACAAUACAUGGACUCGUUUCAUUUUUGUCAGCAAGCCAUACAGAGAAGGUUUUUAAGGGACAAGGGGAAUAGAAGUGAGAACCACAGCAGAACAAAAGCAAAAACCAGAAGAGAACAAAAUGAGGGAGGACACAAACAAGCAGGACAAGAUGGAGGAAAAAGAACAAGGCUGUGGGACUGACAAGUGUGUAAACAACUGUAAGAACCUGUGAGUUAGCAUUUAAAUAUAACCUGUUAUUAUUAGUGGCGCCAGCACAAGCAAUUCAGUGUUUAUGGCACUUAAUAGUGAAUGACCACCAUAUCAUACGAAUGUUAGUCAAUGGGGGAGAGAGUUGUGAGCCAGCAGACUGAGGAAAGGUGGGGCCCUUUACCCAGAAGGGAGGGCCAAGCAGCGAGCCCAUCCAGGAAGGGGACCCAACCAGGGGGAGGUCCCCGAGCCGCCAAGAUCCAGGAAGGUCCUGAUCCCAACCGACCAACACACCCCAAACCACCACGUUGACCCCCUACCCAGCGAGCCCCACCGCCAUCAUUACAUCCACAACCCAUGCAGAGCAUGGGGACCCAAGUCACACGGGAGGGGCCAACGCAGGAGCCAGCCACCACCUCCAA
Syngnathoides biaculeatus (alligator pipefish) is the source of this 719-nucleotide long non-coding RNA. RefSeq lists it as uncharacterized. The transcript is spliced from 3 exons. NCBI's taxonomy places the organism in Eukaryota, Metazoa, Chordata, Actinopteri, Syngnathiformes, Syngnathidae. The record is from RefSeq and is a predicted model, not a curated record.